AUUAUAAUGAUGAUACUUUUGAUAGGGACAUCUGAUGUCUAUGAUUGAUUUAUCACUUUUCAUUUGUAUAACUGAUCCA
This 79-nucleotide small nucleolar RNA is filed under the name Drosophila virilis. RNAcentral describes it as "small nucleolar RNA Me28S-Cm2645". It matches the Rfam family "Small nucleolar RNA Me28S-Cm2645". From Rfam's summary of the family: Me28S-Cm2645 is a member of the C/D class of snoRNA which contain the C (UGAUGA) and D (CUGA) box motifs. This family directs 2'-O-methylation of 28S C-2645. The record is from Rfam by way of RNAcentral. Lineage: Eukaryota; Metazoa; Arthropoda; Insecta; Diptera; Drosophilidae.